RNAcentral lists this ribosomal RNA (464 nucleotides) under uncultured bacterium. RNAcentral describes it as "partial 16S ribosomal RNA". It matches the Rfam family "Bacterial small subunit ribosomal RNA", at positions 29 to 507 of the family's 1533-position model. The record is from RNAcentral.
ACGAACGCUGGCGGCGUGCUUAACACAUGCCAGUCGAACGGUAAGGCCCCUUCGGGGGUACACGAGUGGCGAACGGGUGAGUAACACGUGAGCAACCUGCCCUUGACUCUGGAAUAACAGUUGGAAACAGCUGCUAAUACUGGAUAUUCAUCGUCUCCUUCCUGGGGGGUGGUGGAAAGCUCCGGCGGUCAGGGAUGGGCUCGCGGCCUAUCAGCUUGUUGGUGAGGUAAUGGCUCACCAAGGCUUCGACGGGUAGCCGGCCUGAGAGGGCGACCGGCCACACUGGGACUGAGAUACGGCCCAGACUCCUACGGGAGGCAGCAGUGGGGAAUAUUGCACAAUGGGCGCAAGCCUGAUGCAGCAACGCCGCGUGCGGGAUGACGGCCUUCGGGUUGUAAACCGCUUUCAGUAGGGACGAAGGGUGACUGACGGUACCUACAGAAGAAGGACCGGCUAACUACGUG